RNAcentral lists this ribosomal RNA (301 nucleotides) under uncultured bacterium. RNAcentral describes it as "partial 16S ribosomal RNA". It matches the Rfam family "Bacterial small subunit ribosomal RNA", at positions 509 to 807 of the family's 1533-position model. The record is from RNAcentral.
CAGUAGCCACGGUAAUACGGAGGGUGCAAGCGUUAUCCGGAUUUAUUGGGUUUAAAGGGUCCGUAGGCGGACUUAUAAGUCAGUGGUGAAAGCCUGUCGCUUAACGAUAGAACUGCCAUUGAUACUGUAAGUCUUGAGUAUAUUUGAGGUAGCUGGAAUAAGUAGUGUAGCGGUGAAAUGCAUAGAUAUUACUUAGAACACCAAUUGCGAAGGCAGGUUACCAAGAUAUAACUGACGCUGAGGGACGAAAGCGUGGGUAGCGAACAGGAUUAGAUACCCGGGUAGUCCCUGUCUCUUAUAC